AAAACGGGGGGCGAAAUCGCAUCGAAACCCAUCAUCAUCGCUGCCGUAUAUAUUUUCAUGGCACAGUUUUUCUUAGAUCCUUUUUUUUCUUUUUCAUUACAGCCGAACGAUUUCAACUUUUUCUAUUUUCAACUUUUAAUUCCCCCCCGUCUUUUUAUUUUUGCUCAUUUUUCUUUGCUGCUAGCGCAAACAUUGACUCUUCUCUCAACGUCAUUAGGAAUUGAAGCUUGGCGUCUGUUUUUGUUCCGUCCUUUUUAUUGAUUGGCCUUGUAUCUAUCUAGCGCUCGUCGUGAAAAACAAACAAACAAAAAAAAAAAACGGAGUUAUCGCCCGUUUCCUUAGCGAUCGUCGACACAUAGUUAGAGCGCCAUCAAACAUCGAUGCAUUCAUCGUACACUCGCCAAACGAAAAUCUGCUCGUCUACUACCGUCUAUUUAAUUGACGUCUUUUAUUCGCGCUGCUGUCCUUCCACGUUCACCAACGUUUCACAGAGAACUGAUAGUUUGGCGCAUCCUGGCAAGGUGCCCAGCUAUUGCGGAAUGGAGUCUACUUGGCUCGUUACGGCUAACAGAAACUGUCUGCUUGCAUGAAAGGUGUCAACCAAGGUGAUCGGGGGUGCCUUGUUACCCGACCAUCCACACGCCGAUUGCCACGUACACGACAAACCGACCAACAGCAGCCAACCGCUAACCACCUUAAAGAAAAACGGCCAAUAAUGAGGUUAGUAUAAUCUUAUAGCGUACAGCUCGAAUGUCAUGCCGUUUUGUCAUGUCCGACAUGUAUACGCCACUGUAUAGUGACUUUUGUUAGCUGACAUACAGACACACAUAUUUUUAUGUGUAAGACUCGCAUUGGUAAUUGUCGGCCGUGCCUGGAGCAUUACAGGAACGCCCGGAGUGGGGGGGGGCCAGUUCCAGGUGGCUAUUCUCUUCCAGCCCAAACGAUUUUUCUUGCUUUCUUUCCGUCAUUAUUAAGAUCGAUUUCAACAUGUCCGGUCUGUGCCAUUACUACGCACGUACACGCAGGCGGACAGUAACGAAUGGCUAUUCGACAGGACGCAUAUAAUCCACACGGCUUUCGUAAUAUCUUGACUAUCGUAUAGUUUUCCCCAUUUUGAAACAGCGCAACGGAAAUAAGAAGAAGAAGAAGAAAAAAAAAAACUUUUUGAUUCUCUGCAAUUGUAGUUCCAAUGGGAAGGAUUUAGAAUCGAAGAUGGUAAUCAUCUUUAUUUAUUUUUUGCUUUUACGCUCCCUCUACCCUGAUCUCUGUGAAAGAAAGGAAAUGCAACGGAUGCGCGAGAUUUCCCUGUCGAUAGAUCUUACACUACGACUAGAAAAUGUCGAAAUGCCGUGGAUCCACUUCUAUUCACAUCGAUUUAUUGUUUAUCGGUCGAUUGAUGGAUGGCUGAAAGAUAAUGAUAGUAAAAGGCCGAGGAUUUCUGUCUCGAAAAACUAAUUCAAAUCAUCCCAAGUUUUUAAAUCGUGCGACGUUGUCGGUCCGCGCUGCCUCUUUCUAUCCGUCGUCAUUGCUUUUGACAGUUUACGUUUUCCGAACCGCGUUGGCCCGCAACAACAAACCUUUUCUCUGGAAAAUAAAAAAAUAAAACUACAUAUUUGAAGAGAUGAUAGGGUUGCGAGUAAGAUCAUGUAAAAGGCACGAAAGUAGGCGGGGAUAGGAAAAAAAAAUGAACGUAAAAAUGAAGGCUAUUGGGGUGUGUAAAUUUCAUUCAUCGAUCAGUGUCCGAGCCAUGCAAUUUUGCUGACGCUAAUGAUAGCCUUUUGGAAAAUAGCCGCCUUUAACCCUCCUCACUCUCCCCUUCAUCUGUCGAUUUCGUCGUCGUCGAUUUCUUCACUCACUUCCAACGUUAUUUUGGGUCAUUCUUUUGAUGCCCAUCGUCCGUUUCUUUCCUCCCUCUUUGUCUGAAUCGUUCACGCUCGUUCCAAAAUCGUUGCCCAUGUGCAAGUGCUUAUGUACAAAAACCGUCUGUCAUAUUGUCACUCUACUGGAAUCUUUUGCUUUAUAAACUGUGUGCAUGCUCAUGUGUCGCUGAUCGUUUUCUCUAUUUCUCCUUGGAAAUGGAUCGACUUCAAAAAUUCCGCAUCUUUCAAUUUUUAACUUCUCUUUGUUGAUCAUCUUUGAAGAUUUGUGAAUUAUUGGCAUGCCUUUGAAACCGAGAAAUAAUACAUUUGAUUUUAUUUUUUCAA
Daphnia magna is the source of this 2204-nucleotide long non-coding RNA. RefSeq lists it as uncharacterized. The record is from RefSeq and is a predicted model, not a curated record. NCBI's taxonomy places the organism in Eukaryota, Metazoa, Arthropoda, Branchiopoda, Diplostraca, Daphniidae. The transcript has 2 exons.